UUGUAUCUGGGCAAACAUCCUUUGAGCCUA
This 30-nucleotide non-coding RNA is filed under the name Mus musculus (house mouse). Lineage: Eukaryota; Metazoa; Chordata; Mammalia; Rodentia; Muridae. The record is from RNAcentral.